Molecule: ribosomal RNA, 803 nt
Filed under: Yamadazyma scolyti
Lineage: Eukaryota; Fungi; Ascomycota; Pichiomycetes; Serinales; Debaryomycetaceae
Description: partial 28S ribosomal RNA
Rfam family: Eukaryotic large subunit ribosomal RNA
Source: RNAcentral
AAACCAACAGGGAUUGCCUUAGUAGCGGCGAGUGAAGCGGCAAUAGCUCAAAUUUGAAAUCUGGCGUCUUCGGCGUCCGAGUUGUAAUUUGAAGAAGGUAUCUUUGGUUUUGGCUCUUGUCUAUGUUCCUUGGAACAGGACGUCACAGAGGGUGAGAAUCCCGUGCGAUGAGAUGCCCAAUUCCAUGUAAAGUUCCUUCGACGAGUCGAGUUGUUUGGGAAUGCAGCUCUAAGUGGGUGGUAAAUUCCAUCUAAAGCUAAAUAUUGGCGAGAGACCGAUAGCGAACAAGUACUGUGAAGGAAAGAUGAAAAGAACUUUGAAAAGAGAGUGAAAAAGUACGUGAAAUUGUUGAAAGGGAAGGGCUUGAGGUCAGACUUGGUUUUACCAGGCCAGCAUCAGUUUGGGUGGCAGGAUAAGUGCGUAGGAAAGUGGCUCCACCUCGGUGGAGUGUUAUAGCCUGCGUCGAUACUGCCUGCCUAGACUGAGGACUGCGUCUUUGACUAGGAUGCUGGCAUAAUGACCUUAAGCCGCCCGUCUUGAAACACGGACCAAGGAGUCUAACGUCUAUGCGAGUGUUUGGGUGUAAAACCCGUACGCGUAAUGAAAGUGAACGUAGGUGAGAGCCCUUAAGGGUGCAUCAUCGACCGAUCCUGAUGUCUUCGGAUGGAUUUGAGUAAGAGCAUAGCUGUUGGGACCCGAAAGAUGGUGAACUAUGCCUGAAUAGGGUGAAGCCAGAGGAAACUCUGGUGGAGGCUCGUAGCGGUUCUGACGUGCAAAUCGAUCGUCGAAUUUGGGUAUAGGGG